UUGCAAAAUUGACUUCUUGAAUUACCAUUUUCAGUUGAUGGAUUGAGAAAUGUGUUCAGUUGAUUCUUGCUGAUUGCCAUGAGAGUGGUCUCUAUGGAGGCUGCGCAUACAGAACAAAACAAAAAAGUGUUAAACGAAACUUCUGAUAUCUUACAACAACAAAAAAUCUAGUUGAAUUUUGAGAGUUCAGAAACAUUUUCUUACAUUUUGGCAGCGUAAUAGAAAGCACCUGAAAAUCCAUUAUGUCAUGAUUCAUUUAAUUUGACCUCAAAGUCUUUGAACUCCUGCAGGACAGUUGUAGCCUUUGAACUUGGAUGCGUAUACAAAUUAGCUAUCAUUCUUGGGAAAUGUAAGCAACCUGAAAGCUCAAUCUUUAAACUUAGAAGGUAUACAAAGCUGAGAUUUUACUCCUGAACCUUACAAAGAAAGCUU
Molecule: long non-coding RNA, 432 nt
Filed under: Nicotiana tabacum (common tobacco)
Lineage: Eukaryota; Viridiplantae; Streptophyta; Magnoliopsida; Solanales; Solanaceae
Description: long non-coding RNA (NTAB_LNC015216)
Source: RNAcentral